UCCAACUUCUAGGCCAUCCUCCCCAGCCACUGCUCAUUCACCUUGCGUGAACAAUGCUGUACAUUAAAUACAUUGAAAGUUCAGGGAAGGAAGAGAUCAGUGCAGGCUAGAAAAACUGAGUAUUUCAUGGAGCAGACCUGAAAAUUAGUUUUAAAACAAUUUCCUUCCAUUUAACUAAGAUUGGUCAGAGGAAAAAAGAUUUCAAUAGCAAGGAAGGAAUUUAUAUUUAUACAAACACUGUCUAUUUUAAGUUCGUGUUCCUCAACAUCCUUUGGAAAUGGGAGAACAGAGUUUGAAAGCACACAAACCAGGGUGUUAA
RNAcentral lists this long non-coding RNA (319 nucleotides) under Homo sapiens (human). Its description in RNAcentral is "non-protein coding lnc-ABI1-6:1". The record is from RNAcentral. Lineage: Eukaryota; Metazoa; Chordata; Mammalia; Primates; Hominidae.